UACGUAGGCAGCGAGCGUUGUUCGGAAUUACUGGGCGUAAAGGGCGCGUAGGUGGUUACUUAAGUCAGAUGUGAAAUCCCUGGGCUUAACCUAGGAAUUGCAUUUGAAACUGAGUAGCUAGAGUAUGGGAGAGGGAAGUGGAAUUUCCGGUGUAGCGGUGAAAUGCGUAGAUAUCGGAAGGAACACCAGUGGCGAAGGCGACUUCCUGGCCCAUUACUGACACUGAGGCGCGAAAGCGUGGGGAGCAAACAGG
This 253-nucleotide ribosomal RNA is filed under the name uncultured bacterium. Its description in RNAcentral is "partial 16S ribosomal RNA". It matches the Rfam family "Bacterial small subunit ribosomal RNA", at positions 524 to 776 of the family's 1533-position model. The record is from RNAcentral.